UAGGGAAUAUUGGACAAUGGGUGAGAGCCUGAUCCAGCCAUGCCGCGUGCAGGAAGAAGGCGUUAUGCGUUGUAAACUGCUUUUUGCCAGGGGAUAAAAAGACUCUGCGGAGUUUAUUGAAGGUACCUGGUGAAUAAGCCACGGCUAACUACGUGCCAGCAGCCGCGGUAAUACGUAGGUGGCAAGCGUUGUCCGGAUUUAUUGGGUUUAAAGGGUGCGUAGGCGGCCCUGUAAGUCAGUGCUGAAAUAUCCCGGCUUAACCGGGAGGGUGGCAUUGAUACUGCAGGGCUUGAGUACAGAUGAAGUAGGCGGAAUUGACGGUGUAGCGGUGAAAUGCAUAGAUAUCGUCAAGAACACCGAUAGCGAAGGCAGCUUACUAAGCUGUAACUGACGCUGAGGCACGAAAGUGUGGGGAUCAAACAGGAUUAGAUACCCCUGUAGUCCCUGAGCGGGCUGGCAAGGCGCAU
RNAcentral lists this ribosomal RNA (467 nucleotides) under uncultured bacterium. RNAcentral's name for it is "bacterial SSU rRNA". It matches the Rfam family "Bacterial small subunit ribosomal RNA", at positions 355 to 825 of the family's 1533-position model. The record is from RNAcentral.